GCCAGGCGCGGUGGCACACACCUGUAAUCCCAGCAGCUCGGGAGGCAGAGACAGGAGAAUCAUGAGUUCAAAGCCAGCUUCAACAAAGGCGAGGUGCUAAGCAACUCAGUGAGACCCUGUCUCUA
RNAcentral lists this small RNA (125 nucleotides) under Marmota monax (woodchuck). Lineage: Eukaryota; Metazoa; Chordata; Mammalia; Rodentia; Sciuridae. The record is from RNAcentral.